GCCUUUGUGGUGUAAUGGUAGCACACUCGCUGCCUAUUCGAGAGGUCCAGGUUCGAGUCCUGGCGAGGACA
This is a non-coding RNA of Stegodyphus dumicola, 71 nucleotides long. The record is from the annotation of a RefSeq genome assembly. NCBI's taxonomy places the organism in Eukaryota, Metazoa, Arthropoda, Arachnida, Araneae, Eresidae.